Molecule: long non-coding RNA, 999 nt
Filed under: Anser brachyrhynchus (Pink-footed goose)
Lineage: Eukaryota; Metazoa; Chordata; Aves; Anseriformes; Anatidae
Description: lncRNA (ENSABRG00000006724.1)
Source: RNAcentral
CCUGAAGCCCUGCUGACAUUUCAAAGGGCCUGAGUGAUGCUUUGCUGAUGGCUCGUUGUGUGCUGAGCAUGCUGCAGAGGUCUGCAGGAAGGGCUGCUGUUCCCUGGGGCUGCUCUGUGGAUCCAGAUGCCUGUACUCAGGAUGUGAGACAAAAUCUUGAAAACCUGGACAUCUCUGCCAAGCACCUUGCCUUCAGUUCAGGAUGGUGAUGCCAGCGAGAACCGCAGCAGCAGCACACCCCAAGCAGCAUCCUUGCUUCAGCCCAGGGGCUACGGCUGUUCCUUAUCUAACAUUUGAGCAGCAGAUGGAGCACAGGACCAGACAAAAGCUCACAGGAUCACUGUGCUCAUAAAGAAGGAGAAGGAGGGGAGCGCAGCAAUGGUUUUGCUGUUCGGCAUUGCAGCCCGGAGAGGACCGUGUGUUCUUAGCCCUGCCAGCUUCACGUGUCAGUGCUUCCCCUUAGUGUGUGAAGUGCCCUCUGAGUUCCCCUCUUCCUUGGACAAACAUCCACAUCAGAAGAAAAUGAGCCAAAAUGGGCACCAGCCCAAGUGCACCCUGUGUCCUUCCUGCUUUAAAGCAGCUUCUUUGUGCGAAGAGCUUCUGCAGAAGGAAAAAAAUAUUGCUUCGACUUUCAGGCCAGGGAAAAGAAUAAAAUGUGCUGCUCCUGUAUUAAUGCUCCAGUGAAACAUUCACUGGCACAGAGCAGUUGCACGAUGCUUGGCAGUUCAGAAGAGGAGUAAAUACCCUCUUCUGUGAGACAAGAUGGAGCAUAGGAAGAACCAUGGACAAAUGGGAAUGCUGGCUGCCCAGUCGUGCUUUGUACAUGCUGGGACACACAUCCCAGAACCCACUGAUGAGCUGGGGCUGCUGCGUGGCUGAUGCUGGUCGUGGCCACACGUCCCCAGCGAGUGGAACCAUAAGUCCUUUUCUUAGCUGGCGCUUGCAUGUGAACGUUGCUGGUCUGGAAUAAUAAAUUUUUUUUUUAAAGGCCUUAUGACA